AGUACUUGUUGGUAGUGAUCGCCUGUUUGGCUUGUACGAGUGCCCUGGUGACUUAUCGUCAGUUAGAAAAAGGAAAGAAUGGCUGCAAAUGGAAAGACGCUGAAAUACCGGUGGCAGACACUUAUCCGAUUACUGAAGUGUGCGGCGUCAUGCAUUGCCAGAACACGGAAGGCGAUGCCCUGAUUCUCUAUUGCCAAAUACCGCCUUUUUAUAUUUUUUGCGAUCAAGAUGGAAUAGAUACAACAAUACCUUUUCCCGAAUGCUGCUGGAGAUGUACUAGAUAUGUGGAAUGUGGUAACGACGGAAAAGCUCUUGAUGCCUAAGAUACAUGUAAAAUAAAUACCUAAAAUACA
This is a long non-coding RNA of Drosophila kikkawai, 353 nucleotides long. RefSeq lists it as uncharacterized. Lineage: Eukaryota; Metazoa; Arthropoda; Insecta; Diptera; Drosophilidae. The record is from RefSeq and is a predicted model, not a curated record.